Molecule: ribosomal RNA, 207 nt
Filed under: uncultured bacterium
Lineage: Bacteria
Description: partial 16S ribosomal RNA
Rfam family: Bacterial small subunit ribosomal RNA
Source: RNAcentral
UCCGUAGGCGGUGUGGCAAGUCGGAAGUGAAAUCUCUGGGCUUAACUCAGAGGCUGCUUCCGAAACUGCCGUGCUCGAGUGCGAGAGAGGCAAGUGGAAUUGCGGGUGUAGCGGUGAAAUGCGUAGAUAUCCGCAGGAACAUCCGAGGCGAAAGCGGCUUGCUGGAUCGCAACUGACGCUGAGGGACGAAAGCUAGGGGAGCAAACA